RNAcentral lists this ribosomal RNA (1445 nucleotides) under Macrobrachium saengphani. RNAcentral's name for it is "SSU rRNA". It matches the Rfam family "Eukaryotic small subunit ribosomal RNA", at positions 417 to 1804 of the family's 1831-position model. Lineage: Eukaryota; Metazoa; Arthropoda; Malacostraca; Decapoda; Palaemonidae. The record is from RNAcentral.
CAAGGAAGGCAGCAGGCACGCAAAUUACCCAAUCCCAGCUCUGGGAGGUAGUGACGAAAAAUAACAAUGCGGGACUCUUCCGAGUCUGCGUAAUUGGAAUGAGCACACUUUAAAUCCUUUAGCAACAACCAAUUGGAGGGCAAGUCUGGUGCCAGCAGCCGCGGUAAUUCCAGCUCCAAUAGCGUAUAUUAAAGUUGUUGCGGUUAAAAAGCUCGUAGUUUGAAUUCAGUUGCGGACUGGUGUGGGAAGUCACCGCCCGGUGCUUCCCCGUCAGGCUCCGAACAGCUUCCUUUGUUGGAAGCCAAGCUGGUUCUGCCAGGGUGCUCUUUACCGAGUGUCUUGUGCGGCCGGCCAGUUCACCUUGAAUAAAUGAGAGUGCUCAAAGCAGGCUACUCUGGAAUACAAUGCCCGAAUGUUAACUGCAUGGAAUGAUGGAAGAUGAUCUCGGUUCCAUUUUGUUGGUGGUGGGAGCCAGAGGUAAUGAUAAAGAGGGACUGUCGGGGGCAUCCGUACUACGACGCGAGAGGUGAAAUUCAGUGACCGUCGUAGGACGAACAACAGCGAAAGCAUUUGCCAAGAAUGUCUUCGUUGAUCAAGAACGAAAGUUAGAGGAUCGAAGGCGAUCAGAUACCGCCCUAGUUCUAACCCUAAACGAUGCUGACUAGCAAUUCGCCGUCGUUAUUCCCAUGACGUGGCGGGACGCCCCCGGGAAACCUCAAGUUUUUGAGUUCCGGGGGUAGUAUGGUUGCAAAAGUGAAACUUAAAGGAAUUGACGGAAGGGCACCACCAGGAGUGGAGCCUGCGGCUUAAUUUGACUCAACACGGGAAAGCUCACCAGGCCCGGACACCAGAAGGAUUGACAGAUUAAGAGCUCUUUCUCGAUUUGUGGGUGGUGGUGCAUGGCCGUUCUUAGUUGGUGGAGUGAUUUGUCUGGUUAAUUCCGGUAACGAACGAGACUCUGGCCUACUAAAUAGUGGACGGGCGUUUUGGUGCAUGGGCCCCGUUCGACACUGUCUUCUUAGAGGGAUGAGCAGCGAGUAUAGCUGCAGGAGAUUGAGCAAUAACAGGUCUGUGAUGCCCUUAGAUGUCCUGGGCCGCAUGCGCGCUACACUGAAUGGGUUAGCGGGUUGUCCUUCUCCGAGAGGAGCGGGAAAUCGCUUGAAAACCAUUCGUGAUAGGGAUUGGGGCUUGCAAUUGUUUCCCAUGAACGAGGAAUUCCCAGUAAGCGCAAGUCAUCAGCUUGCGUUGAUUAAGUCCCUGCCCUUUGUACACACCGCCCGUCGCUACUACCGAUUGAAUGAUUUAGUGAGGCCUUCGGACUGGCGGUCUUGGACUGGUUUGACUGGUUUGUCCCAGCAUUGGGGUGCCAUCGACUCGCCUAGACGGGCCGGAAAGAUGACCAAACUUGAUCAUUUAAAGGAAGUAAAAGUCGUAACAAGGUUUCC